This 502-nucleotide ribosomal RNA is filed under the name Vanneaugobius pruvoti. RNAcentral's name for it is "partial 12S ribosomal RNA". It matches the Rfam family "Bacterial small subunit ribosomal RNA", at positions 794 to 1526 of the family's 1533-position model. The record is from RNAcentral. Lineage: Eukaryota; Metazoa; Chordata; Actinopteri; Gobiiformes; Gobiidae.
GCCUAGCUGUAAACAAAAAUGGCCCUUUACACGCCAUUCGCCAGGGGACUACGAGCUUCGGCUUGAAACCCAAAGGACUUGGCGGUGCUUUAGACCCCCCUAGAGGAGCCUGUUCUAUAAUCGAUUCUCCCCGCUCAACCUCACCCCUCCUUGUUCGUUCCAGCUCAUAUACCGCCGUCGUCAGCUUACCCUGUGAAGGUCUAAUAGUAAGCUCAAUUGGUAGCGCCCAAAAAGGCAGGUCAACGUGUGGCUUACUGGAGGGGAAAGAAUUGGCUACAUUUGCUGAACCAGCAAAUACGGAUGCUGCACUAAAAAAGCAGCUGAAGGCGGAUUUAGCAGUAAGAGAGGUAAUAGAGUGCCUCUCUGAAGCCGGCCCUGAAGUGCGUACACACCGCCCGUCACCCUCCCUAAAAUUAUAAAAUUAAUAAAUAAUAAGAUAGCCCGAUAUAAGGGGAGGCAAGUCGUAACAUGGUAAGUGUACCGGAAGGUGUGCUUGGAAAAC